This 109-nucleotide microRNA precursor is filed under the name Medicago truncatula (barrel medic). RNAcentral's name for it is "miR5278 stem-loop (mtr-MIR5278)". Lineage: Eukaryota; Viridiplantae; Streptophyta; Magnoliopsida; Fabales; Fabaceae. The record is from miRBase by way of RNAcentral.
CUGCAGGAAACACAUUUCCUGCAGAUUUUGCCAAGGGUUUAGGUUCCACAGGAAAGAUAUAUCCGUAGAAAAUAUGAAAUUAUCUGCAGGAAAUGUGAAAUUAUCCGCA